RNAcentral lists this ribosomal RNA (411 nucleotides) under uncultured Pansomonadida. RNAcentral describes it as "partial small subunit ribosomal RNA". It matches the Rfam family "Eukaryotic small subunit ribosomal RNA", at positions 30 to 432 of the family's 1831-position model. The record is from RNAcentral. Lineage: Eukaryota; Cercozoa.
GCUUGUCUCAAAGAUUAAGCCAUGCAUGUCUAAGUAUAAGCAACUUUAUACUGUGAAACUGCGAACGGCUCAUUAAAUCAGUUAUUAUUUAUUUGAUGGUCAAUCACUACAUGGAUACCCGUAGUAAUUCUAGAGCUAAUACAUGCGUAAAAGCCCGACCCUCGCGGAAGGGCUGUAUUUAUUAGAUAAAAAAUCAAUAUCGGUGUUAAAGCCGUUUUUUAUUGAUGAUUCAUAGUAACUGUUCGAAGCUCAUGGCCUUGUGCUGGAGCUAGUUCAUUCAAAUUUCUGCCCUAUCAGCUUUCGAUGGUAGUGUAGUGGACUACCAUGGCUUUAACGGGUGACGGAGAAUUAGGGUUCGAUUCCGGAGAGGGAGCCUGAGAAAUGGCUACCACAUCCAAGGAAGGCAGCAGG